This 1483-nucleotide long non-coding RNA is filed under the name Theobroma cacao (cacao). RNAcentral's name for it is "long non-coding RNA (TCAC_LNC002538)". The record is from RNAcentral. Lineage: Eukaryota; Viridiplantae; Streptophyta; Magnoliopsida; Malvales; Malvaceae.
UAACAGCGGAGCGACUCGGGAUAAAAUGCUAUGAGAUGCCUUUACCUAUUUGUGGUGGACCGAAUGCACCGAUGAUUACAUGCUAGGUCGAUCUUUGUCUGCAAAAGGGGAAAAUGAGGGGUGUGAGUCUCAUAGACUCAGUGAUCAUCGGCUUCGUGAGUAUGACGUAGAUGGGAAACAAGCAAUAAGGUAGAGAUUUUGAAUAAUAAAAAUUGCAAGAGUAGAUAAAAAUAUGUAGUUCAAACAGAGAUUUGUGCCUUAUAUAUAUAUAUAUAUAUAUAAAUAUCAAAAAUCUCUUGUAAGUCGUAAUCAACCAUAAUGUAUAUCAAAUCAAGUAAGUAAACUUCUGUGCAGCGAGAAAGUUAAUAACCAUUUUCAAACUAAAUCAGUGAAUAAUCAUUUUAAACCUCGUGUUAGUAAAUGAUCUCUGCAGUCGAAUUAUCUCAGGUAAUACUCAAAUCAAAUCAAUAAAGUUAGGCAAGCUCCCGCGAAACCAAAUAGUAACCAGGUUUAUACACAGUUCCCAAAUCUCCUCGCACGCAAGGAUAAAAUUCAUAUAACAAUAAAACCAAGGGAGUUACUAGAAACUGUAAAAUUUUGUUUUCACCAUGCAAGAAAUAAGAGUCUAAAAACCCAAAGAGAUUUUUGUCUCGAGUAGGAAAUCAAAUAAAAUUUGUGGUAUCGCUACCACGUAAUAACCUCCGGGAGCCUCGCUCCACCGGAUCCCACAUGCCAUGGUAGUCUCACGAUGUUGGCCGACAUCAAAGAAUCAAGCGGUCACAACCGUGUAAUCAUCUAGUGGCCUAGCCACGCAUACAUAUAUCACAGGCCAUGACCUCAACCAUGCCUAACCGCUCGUCGGUGACCCAAUGGUUUUCUAGCUAGAGCUCACUCGUGCACGAGGGUCACACUUAACCGAUGUGACAUCCGACCUACUCUUGAUGCUCUCGGUUUGUAAAACCAUUUUGCAAUCGUGUUAUGUCCUUAAAAGCUCAUCUCAAAAUUCUUUCCAAAGCAUUCAACACAAGGUAUGAUAAAAUCUAUCAUUUUCUCAAAGUAUAUUUAUGCAUGGAUUUCAAAACAAUAAUUUGCAUGGUGAAUAAGCAAUAUAACCGUGAAUGUACAUUGCACAAAUAUAAGGCACAAAUUUUGAUGUAAAACGGUGUGAAGGGCUUGUUUCUCAAUUUUCAAAACACUUUACAUAUAAUUUAUACAUAUAUAUAUUCAAAACAAUUUUUGAAAAUAAUUUGCAUUCACAAUUCUUUAAAAUGUCUACCAGCACAUGCUAUCCACAGUUUUCGCGUUUAAAAUAAAUCAUACUUAUAGGUAUAUAUUUAUGAAAAUUUUUAAAAUUGACACCCUCUACUCACCUCACAAUAGCGAGAUGUUACGUCGCUAUUAAUUCAAAGACGUAUUGAGCUACUUCUUCUUACCGGUCGUUCGUUAUUUUCUUUAGCCUUUCACUACAGUGCACCACCUAUUU